Molecule: non-coding RNA, 2573 nt
Organism: Pelodiscus sinensis (Chinese soft-shelled turtle)
Lineage: Eukaryota; Metazoa; Chordata; Testudines; Trionychidae
Source: RefSeq, a predicted model, not a curated record
CGAGGAGGAGGAGGAUCCUAGGACCCAGGGAUGGAGUGUUUUUUGGUCCAGAUGUGUGUGCAGAAAGAAGAGCUCCCAGAGAGACUGUCAAACGCAAGGAAUGUUUCCAAUAUGGACAAUGAGGAAAAUUAUUCUGCAGCAAAGAAAGAAACACGACAGCUACUGCACCACCUCACGAGACUUGGCAAAGUAUGGUAAGAUGUGCUUCCAGUCAACGUCUACUGCAAGGCCAUGGGGACCUUACUGAAUGCAGUGCUCAGUGAGAUGAAUAGAGUUACGGCCUUAGAGGACGUAGCUUGAACGUCCUAUGCAGGGCCAUGCUGGAAGAAGGACCUCUAGUGUUAACUCCAUUACCCAAAGAAAACAAAUAAGAAAUACCAAGAGUAAGUUCCAGUCUACAGAAAUGCAGAAAUGGAUGAUGUUCAAAGAGCUGAUGAUGAUCCUACAGGCCAGUCUCCAAGAAAUAAUAGAUCGGUAGGCAUCUUCUAAUAUGCACAAGAAUUCUUUCUAUAGUGAAAAUCCCCAACAGCAGGUUGCUUUGUGCAUAUGGCCAUUUACUGUGCAGAUAGCAUGCUGGGAGUCAGCUACAUUUGAGGCUGCUGGAGCAGGCAGAGGUGUAGCAAGGAUGUUUUGCGCCCGGGAGCAAAGGCCAAAUUUGCAUCCCCCCGAAAUCAUUUGUUACUGUGGAUCUGUUAUUAUUUCUAAGUCAGCCAAAAAAUAAGAACAUAAGAAAAAAAUCACAAAUGCUACUAAUAGCCACAGAUCCUUGGAUCAAUUAGUAGAUCAUAGUAGAAUUAUCUUGAUCGUAUUUUGCUUUUUUCAAAAAACAUUCCAAUAAUUUACUGGAUUUACUGGUUUCUUCCUUUUCUUCUGCUAGUCUUUUCCUGCACUGAGCACCACUCAACUUUCUUCCAGACAUAUCUAAGAUUUAUAAAUAAUCCACCUUUUAGGAUAUUUAUCAUUUAAUCACAAUUACUUAUUGUACUAACUAGACACAUAUAAAUUAUAAAGUUUUUGUGGUUUACAUUCUGUUUAAUUAUUUUUUUCUCUUUAAUCUUUUGUAUCCCAUUCUCAUUAGAUUCAAGUCUUUUACAUUAAAAAUGUGAAAUGCGUAAAAUAUGUACGUUUUAUAAAACCCAAAAGAAAAAAACGUUACAACCUAAAUAUGAAUUUCAUCAUUAUAUUUCAAUCAAGGAUUUAAAACCACUGUCACAGCAAAUGAGUAACGCAUUGCUUUAAUUAAUUGUAAAAAGAUUUUGAGCAUAUCAAAUGUAUUUUAAGCAAUCUGUAAUGAUUCCUAAAUGCCGAGUUACUUACUAGUUAACCUAGUUGUUUUUCAUACUAUCGCAUAGCAAUAAACUACAUCAUAAUUAUGAAUGUAAGAGAUUAACUUGCCUGUUAAAAUAACAUGCAGAAAUAUAUUUAAAUCAAAGUAACACACAACUGGAGAGUCGCUCUCACGUUUUUGAAAGCACUUAAAGCAAUAAGUUAGAGUGGGAGGGGUGGUGCUCUGGCGUAGUUGAGGGGGAUUGGAUUAGAAUGGUGGCAUGGGGGUGCCUGGCUCUGGGGAAAGGAGGGGACUAUUUUGUUGAUAUUUUGGUUUUUAUUUGUUUAUUCCCAAAUAAAAUCACAAAAUGUAUAUUAUUUUUAUAUCAAUAAAUAUGUCAAUUUUUUCAAAUUGCAUGAAGAAUUAUAUGUUUAUUCAAAAUUUCAGGUUUCCAAAGUAUCUGAAAUUUUCACAAAAAAAGAAAAAGAUUUCACAACCAAUCAUUUUAAAGCUAUGCAAAAGAGCAUCUUGUUCAGACCAAUCACUUCAAACCAGAACCCUCAUGCAUAUGCAUGAGUCAAACCUAUAAAGGCCUGAGCAACGCCCGUUUUGUUGUUGCAUCGGAGCGUCGGGUUAGAUGUAGGUUAGACUAGUGCAUGCAUGAGAGGGUGUAUGUGUGUGGUCUAGCGUCUUGUCCCGGGUUGUAUGAGUGAGGUUUAGCAUCAUCUGCAAGUUAAGCCAAGCAGAAGGGUUGGUAUUAUAUUCUGAUAAUCUUACUUAACUAGGUUUAGAUUAGAUAGUUUAGAUUUUAGAUAGAUUAGAUCUCGUCAUCGAGCCUGUCCAUUAGGCAGCGUCGGUCACAGCAUGUCAGCCAUCAUUGUGCCUGUUUGGCGGGUGCGUCGCGAGUUAGUUAGGGUAUUAUUUUAAGAUAAGUGUAGGAUACGUUAGUUUAGAGUCUAGCAUCCAUCGCCGUUCCAGCUGCUCUGAAGUGCAGGAAGAGGCCGAAGGUCUUCCCAGAAGGGGAACACAUCGCUCCCGACUCCAGCACUUCGAGGGACCUCCUGGCUUCUCUCUCCUGAGGCUUUCAACUAGCCAACGGCUCGAGGUUGCCAGUGUUGGCGCCAUCGUCCAUCGAGGGACUCCUGGCUGUUCUUCUCCCGAGGCUUUCAAUUAGCCGACAGAUUGAGGUCGCCAGCAGCACAACCAUCGCCUCAGCGCCGUUAGACUGGUAAAGUUAUAAAGUAUUUGAGGGGACUGCCCCCUUGCUUGUUUACAAUAUAUUGUAGUCAAGUUGUUAUAAACCUUA